Molecule: long non-coding RNA, 1404 nt
Filed under: Homo sapiens (human)
Lineage: Eukaryota; Metazoa; Chordata; Mammalia; Primates; Hominidae
Description: HSALNT0372311
Source: RNAcentral
CUUCAGGAGUGAAGCUGCAGACCUUCGCGUGAUGGAGGUUGAGAAGUCCAACUUCAAGGCACCACAUCUGGUGAGAGCCUUCAUUCCGAUGACAGCCUUCAUGCUGGUAAGAUUUUCUUCAGAGUUCCAAGGUGGUGCACGGCAUCACAUGGCGAAGGAAAUGAGCGUGCUAGCUCAGGUGUCUCUUCCUCUUCUUAUAAAGCCACCAGUCCCACUCCUGUGCUAGUAACUCUUUAAUCCAUCAACCCAUUAAUCCAUGAAUAGAUUAACCCAUGAGGCCUCUGCCCUCAGGACCCAAUCACCUCUUAAAGGCCUGACCUGUCAAUAUUGCCAUACUGGGGACUCAGUUUCAACAUGAGUUUUGAAAGGGACAAACAUUCAAUCCAUAGUAACAUGAGAGCUUUUCAAAGCCCUUCUUUGUUGAAGUAUGUCCUUCUCCAGCCUCUUUUUUCCCAGGCUUUUUGUUUUUUCUAUUGCUUGUGCAGCUGUUAUCCUUUGCUACAGGUGGCAAUAGCUAAUACAUUUGCCUUUAAAUUUGUUUGACAAACACCACCCUGGAAGUAGCCUCAACUCUGGGGAAGCUCCAAGACAGGUAAAAUACAGGUAAGCCCUUGAGCAGAUCCUUCAGGAAGCUACCAUAUGGGUCAAAACACAGAACCACAAUUCUUUAAUUCUUUGAGAAUAAGGUCUGUAUUGUUCCCUCUGUUACCAGCAACCUGCAGCAGGAAAAUGGGCUUCAGUUUUCAAGUCUGCAGCUGAGUUGGGAAGUUGCGGACAGUAACCAGGAUCGCUGUCCUUAUAAGAAGUGGAAGAAACAUCAGAGAGCUCUCCCUCUCCACACACACAGAGGAAAGGCCACAUGGGGACAAGAGAGGGCAACUGUCUACAAAUCUGGAAGAGAGACUUCAGAAGAAACCAGCACUGAUGGCAUCUGAUCUUGGACUUCCAGCCUCUGGAUCUAUCUGCCAGAGCCUGAUCUCAUACACACUGAUGUGGUACAGGAAAUGCCACCUGAAAAUAUGGUACCUUGGCAUUUGAGGAAACAGUAGAAGGAGGUCAUAGAAACUAGAAAGAAUUCCUCCUUGCUCUUUGUCCCCCAAAGGAGCCAUAAAACCUGGGCCGAGUUUCUUCUGAAAAUAAGUUAUAAGAUCCUUAUUCCAGAGGGGUCCUGCCCUGUGCCUGGAGGAAAAGAAUGAAGACACAGAGAUGCCUUGAAGAAUCUGAACAAACAGCCCUUGCUAAGUUCCCCCCAGUUUAUUGACAUUAGAUUAGACCUUUUGUCCUCCAAUUAUACUUCUGUGUUCCUGAAAAUACACAUUUUCCCGUUUUUUCUUUUGUUUGCUUUUUUUGAUCUUCAUUUCUGAAGAUUCCCAUGUCAUGUAAAAUAUAUGUUAAACAAAUGUG